Molecule: long non-coding RNA, 699 nt
Organism: Oncorhynchus tshawytscha (Chinook salmon)
Lineage: Eukaryota; Metazoa; Chordata; Actinopteri; Salmoniformes; Salmonidae
Exons: 4
Source: RefSeq, a predicted model, not a curated record
UACACCCUUUGCAAAAAGCUCUGGCCCUUCAGGUAUUGUAUUUGAACUCUAUACUCACAAUGCCACAUCACAUUGUGACUGUAGUCUCUCAUUGCUACAAUUACAAUUCUGCUCACCAACAUGAGCAGAGAGCAGGCCAAUUGGGCCUUUAACAAUAGACUCCAGGCCGUUUUUGUUGUUGGUCAACUACUUUCCCUUCUACUCUUCAGGACCUAUUCUGUGGCAGCAGUAGGCUUGUCUGCAGAAUGGACAACUGAAGAGAGAUAUGUCGCACGUGAGGGAAACAACUCCGUGUCUUGGCCUUCUGAAGUUUCUGUCCUCCCAAACCUAGACUCUGGUCCACCAACUGUCUUUGCCAGUCAAAAGGAUCCAGGGUCAAAGAGAAACAUCACAGUCCGUUUAGGUGUGCAUGUGACACUCUUUGGUCCAAGAGAAUUUAUUGUCCCUGAGUUACUUCUUGCCCUAUACAAAGAGCCAGUUCUCUACAGUCUUGGAGAGAACAGAGGGGUGCUUGCCCUGCGAAUACUGGGAAUGAGAAAGAGUGACCUCUGACCACUGUGAUUGCAUCACAUCGUGGACUCUUCUGAACCUCUCCACCUGAAAAUGCAGAGCUCCUUCAAUUCUUUAUUCUCCGUUGUCUUCUUGUUUAUUUAUAGUCUAUCUCUGUAGUGCUGUCAAGAUUACUCUCAAAUUGGUUUC